RNAcentral lists this ribosomal RNA (500 nucleotides) under uncultured bacterium. Its description in RNAcentral is "partial 16S ribosomal RNA". It matches the Rfam family "Bacterial small subunit ribosomal RNA", at positions 30 to 523 of the family's 1533-position model. The record is from RNAcentral.
AUUGAACGCUGGCGGCAUGCCUUACACAUGCAAGUCGAACGGCAGCACGGGAGCAAUCCUGGUGGCGAGUGGCGAACGGGUGAGUAAUAUAUCGGAACGUGCCCAGUCGUGGGGGAUAACGCAGCGAAAGCUGUGCUAAUACCGCAUACGAUCUAUGGAUGAAAGCGGGGGACCGCAAGGCCUCGCGCGAUUGGAGCGGCCGAUAUCAGAUUAGCUAGUUGGUGGGGUAAGGGCCCACCAAGGCGACGAUCUGUAGCUGGUCUGAGAGGACGACCAGCCACACUGGAACUGAGACACGGUCCAGACUCCUACGGGAGGCAGCAGUGGGGAAUUUUGGACAAUGGGCGCAAGCCUGAUCCAGCGAUGCCGCGUGCAGGAUGAAGGCCUUCGGGUUGUAAACUGCUUUUGUACGGAACGAAACGGUGAGCUUUAAUACAGUUUGCUAAUGACGGUACCGUAAGAAUAAGCACCGGCUAACUACGUGCCAGCAGCCGCAGUAA